AUCAAACUCUCUCUUCAAAUAAAUCAACAGCAACAUUUCCCAUGAGAAGCCCCAGGUUAUGGAAAAUCCAUACACAGUAGCUGAAUUGUCAACAGCAAUCAAGACAUCUAAGAUUGACUUUGAUAACAAUACUCUGUAAUAUAAAAACAAAGUGUAGACUCCUUAUAGGAUAGCCAUUUUUCUUAAGGCAAUUUGGUACAGAUGCAGACUUUGG
Molecule: non-coding RNA, 214 nt
Organism: Pelobates cultripes (western spadefoot toad)
Lineage: Eukaryota; Metazoa; Chordata; Amphibia; Anura; Pelobatidae
Source: the annotation of a GenBank genome assembly